CUCAUAGUAUGUGAGGAUCGGCAUCUAUUUCACAUUAAAGUCACAACGGCAAAAGAUGAGCAUGCGUCCCAUUAGCUAGUUGGUAAGGUAACGGCUUACCAAGGCUACGAUGGGUAGGGGGUCCUGAGAGGGAGAUCCCCCACACUGGUACUGAGACACGGACCAGACUCCUACGGGAGGCAGCAGUGAGGAAUAUUGGACAAUGGGCGCAAGCCUGAUCCAGCCAUGCCGCGUGCAGGAUGACGGUCCUAUGGAUUGUAAACUGCUUUUGUACAGGAAGAAACACUACUUCGUGAAGUAGCUUGACGGUACUGUAAGAAUAAGGAUCGGCUAACUCCGUG
This 341-nucleotide ribosomal RNA is filed under the name uncultured bacterium. RNAcentral's name for it is "bacterial SSU rRNA". It matches the Rfam family "Bacterial small subunit ribosomal RNA", at positions 170 to 507 of the family's 1533-position model. The record is from RNAcentral.